AUACCCUAUUAUUUAAGAGCUAAAUACUGUAAGUAUAUAAUAAUUACGAAAGCAAAAAAUUAUGGCGGUAUUUUAAGCUUUUCAGAGGAAUUUGCUCUUUAAUGGAUAAAACACCUAAAUCUUACUUAAAUUUGUUAAAUCAACUUGUAUACCACUAUUAAAACAAUUAUUAACUCUAAUUGUUAAUAUUUAAAACAUAAAUUAAUUUAAAUUAAGUCAAGGUGCAGUAAAAAUUUAAGAAUGAAGUGAAUUACAUUACUUUUAAGGGAAAUAAAAUUAAAUAAAGUUUAGGAUUUGAAAGUAAAAUUAAAAUAGAAUGUUAAUUUGAAUUAAGCUCUAAAAUAUGUACAUAUCGCCCGUC
This 361-nucleotide ribosomal RNA is filed under the name Rhipicephalus appendiculatus. Its description in RNAcentral is "partial small subunit ribosomal RNA". Lineage: Eukaryota; Metazoa; Arthropoda; Arachnida; Ixodida; Ixodidae. The record is from RNAcentral.